GCUUACGGCCACACCUCCCUGAGCAAGGGCCCGAUCUCGUCUGAUCUCGGAAGCUAAGCAGGGUCGGGCCCGGUUAGUACUUGGAUGGGAGACCGCCUGGGAAUACAGGUGCUGUAAGCC
Molecule: ribosomal RNA, 120 nt
Filed under: Esox lucius (northern pike)
Lineage: Eukaryota; Metazoa; Chordata; Actinopteri; Esociformes; Esocidae
Source: RNAcentral